Molecule: transfer RNA, 81 nt
Filed under: Candidatus Roizmanbacteria bacterium
Lineage: Bacteria; Candidatus Roizmaniibacteriota
Description: tRNA-Leu
Rfam family: tRNA
About the family: Transfer RNA (tRNA) molecules are approximately 80 nucleotides in length. Their secondary structure includes four short double-helical elements and three loops (D, anti-codon, and T loops). Further hydrogen bonds mediate the characteristic L-shaped molecular structure. tRNAs have two regions of fundamental functional importance: the anti-codon, which is responsible for specific mRNA codon recognition, and the 3' end, to which the tRNAs corresponding amino acid is attached (by aminoacyl-tRNA synthetases). tRNAs cope with the degeneracy of the genetic code in two manners: having more than one tRNA (with a specific anti-codon) for a particular amino acid; and 'wobble' base-pairing, i.e. permitting non-standard base-pairing at the 3rd anti-codon position.
Source: RNAcentral
GGGUCGGUGGCGGAAUGGUAUACGCGCAUGGUUUAGGACCAUGUCUCGAAAGGGGUGGAGGUUCAAGUCCUCUCCGACCCA